UCCGCAGGCGGGCAAUUAAGUCAGGGGUGAAAUGCUGCAGCUCAACUGUAGCACUGCCCUUGAUACUGGUUGUCUUGAGUUAUAGUGGAGUGGCUGGAAUAUGUAGUGUAGCGGUGAAAUGCAUAGAUAUUACAUAGAACACCAAUCGCGAAGGCAGGUCACUAACUAUUAACUGACGCUGAUGGACGAAAGCGUGGGGAGCGAACG
This 207-nucleotide ribosomal RNA is filed under the name uncultured bacterium. RNAcentral describes it as "partial 16S ribosomal RNA". It matches the Rfam family "Bacterial small subunit ribosomal RNA", at positions 568 to 774 of the family's 1533-position model. The record is from RNAcentral.